UUGUAGAAUUUUUUUAUUUUUCAAAUGAUAAUUUUAUUUUAAAAUUACAUAAUCCACCGUCAACAUGAAUGAUUUGAACAAUUGACCAAUUAACUGAAAUUUUGCCAAUUGAUUGCAUUGGAAUGAUACAUUGUAUUUAGAGAAAAAAUUAAGAUAGCACUAAAUCAAGUUUUUGUUCUCAAACUAGUAUUCAAGCCUCAAAGUCACAAAAAUAGGUUUCAUUAAAGAGGUAAAUAUAUAUUUAUACUCUUUGGAUUAAUUAAUCCAAAUCUUAGAGAAAGUUAAGGAAUGGAGUUUUGGAAUUAUUGUUUAAAAUUUUAUAAAAUAAAAAAUCAAUACUAAAAAAUUAAAAAUAAAAAUUUAAAAAAUAGUUUCAAAAAAUAUUUUUGAAUUAUAAAAAGAAAAUUUGAAAGAAAACAAUAAAAACAAAAUUCAAAAAAAAAUUAAAAAAAAUUAGAAAAAAUUUGAAUCUGAAAAACCAUAUAAUCUGCAACUAUAAAAAGAAAAUUUCAUUUUUUAUUUUUAUUUUAUUUGUUUUUAUUUAUUUUUGUUUGCUUAUUUAAUUUUAAAGACCUUGUAAUUAGACGAAGCAUUUAUAUACAUUUUCUUUUGCAACAAUUAUUUAAAAAAUAGUUUCAAAAAGUAUUUUUGAAUUAUAAAAAGAAAAUUUGAAAGAAAACAAUAAAAACAAAAUUCAAAAAAAAAAAUUAAAAAAAAAUUAGAAAAAAAUUUGAAUCUGAAAAACCAUAUAAUCUAAAACUAUAAAAAGAAAAUUUCAUUUUUUAUUUUUAUUUUAUUUGUUUUUAUUUAUUUUUGUUUGCUUAUUUAAUUUUAAAGACCUUGUAAUUAGACGAAGCAUUUAUAUACAUUUUCUUUUGCAACAAUUAUUUAAGAAAAAGCCAAAUCAAUUUUGUUAACCAACAAAUGAAAAAGGUAAUCAAAAAAAUAAUCUCCCCGCGGGCGCCCUCCCUCUCCCGAGGGUGCUCUCCUUGCCCUUUUCCCUCGCCCUCGCGGGCCUCUCCCCGCCGCCUCCUCUCCCCGCCCUCUCCCCGCGAACGCCUCUCCCACCUCUCCCCGCGAACGCCUCUCCCUCGCGGGCUCUCCCUCCCCUCUCCCUCCCCUCUCCCCGCAGGCGGGCCCCUCCUCUCCCCGCGGGCGCCUCUCCCCGCGGGGAGAGACCCGACCCCUGCGGAGGCGCCUCUCCCCCCUGCGGGCGGCCUC
This 1221-nucleotide long non-coding RNA is filed under the name Brassica rapa (field mustard). RNAcentral describes it as "long non-coding RNA (BRAP_LNC000770)". The record is from RNAcentral. Lineage: Eukaryota; Viridiplantae; Streptophyta; Magnoliopsida; Brassicales; Brassicaceae.